GACGAAGGGGGCUAGCGUUGUUCGGAAUUAUUGGGCGUAAAGCGCACGUAGGCGGCUUUGCAAGUCGGAUGUGAAAUCCCUCGGCUUAACCAAGGAAGUGCAUCCGAAACUGCAGAGCUUGAGUACUUAAGAGGAUCGCGGAAUUCCCGGUGUAGAGGUGAAAUUCGUAGAUAUCGGGAGGAACACCAGUGGCGAAGGCGGCGAUCUGGGAAGAUACUGACGCUGAGGUGCGAAAGCGUGGGGAGCAAACAGG
Molecule: ribosomal RNA, 253 nt
Filed under: uncultured bacterium
Lineage: Bacteria
Description: partial 16S ribosomal RNA
Rfam family: Bacterial small subunit ribosomal RNA
Source: RNAcentral